GACGAACGCUGGCGGCGUGCUUAACACAUGCAAGUCGAACGAUGAAGCCGGAGCUUGCUCUGGUGAAUUAGUGGCGAACGGGUGAGUAACACGUGAGUAACCUGCCCUUGACUCUGGGAUAACUGCGGGAAACUGUAGCUAAUACCGGAUACGACCCUCGGAGGCAUCUCCUGGGGGUGGAAAGAAUUUCGGUCAAGGAUGGACUCGCGGCCUAUCAGCUAGUUGGUGAGGUAAAGGCUCACCAAGGCGACGACGGGUAGCCGGCCUGAGAGGGUGACCGGCCACACAGGGACUGCGACACGGGCCAGACUCCUACGGGAGGCAGCAGUGGGGAAUAUUGCACAAUGGGCGCAAGCCUGAUGCAGCAACGCCGCGUGAGGGAUGACGGCCUUCGGGUUGUAAACCUCUUUUAGCAGGGAAGAAGCGAAAGUGACGGUACCUGCAGAAAAAGCACCGGCUAACUACGUGCCAGCCGCCGCCGUAA
Molecule: ribosomal RNA, 484 nt
Filed under: uncultured bacterium
Lineage: Bacteria
Description: partial 16S ribosomal RNA
Rfam family: Bacterial small subunit ribosomal RNA
Source: RNAcentral